AGACACGGCCAGCCAGCCCCGCUUGCAUUCAUUUGUCGACGCACACAUACACACGUUAACAGCGCCACCGCCAUACAGAAGUUGAUAGAGUCCAUUGCCUCCGGCGACAUCUUCGUUGUUGGCGUGCGCUGGGCGAUAGGCGAGGCAUUACAUCUCGUGUGUGUCCGUGCCCUGCGCACUUUGCCUCCGGUUCGGGCCGUCGCCACGUGAAGAAACAGCCGCAACCUUGCACGAGAGGCAAGCACACACACACACACACGCAGACAUACAUACUUAUCUCGAAUUCCGUUACGGCAACCCCUCUCUCACCCUUUUGUCAUAGAAUCGUCCCCCGAUCGCUGCACCCGUGCCUGUGCAUCGUGCGAGGCGAGGCACAGCGCGCUUAGAAUCACUUCCUCAUUCACCCACAUACAGGCACGCCCUCAUAGACUGCGCAACCCAUACACCCACCCACCCACACACACACACACGCACACCGGCACUUAUGCAUAGACAACUCCAUACACGCACGCCAUUUUGCACGUCUCCCUCUUCGUCUUCUCUCGUGUGCUCCCUCGACCAUCACACACCUCACCCUACCCCGCAUCCCCCCCCUCCGCCAUCGUUCUCUCGCGAGGACAGCGAAUCCGUAGCAAAUGCCCCGAAGCGCUGUCGCCGCCACACCACGGGUAAGACGAGCAGGUGGAGGCUCUGGCUCGUCCCCGACACAACGUCCCUCUCGCCGCAGCGGCAAGGCCGACAAAAACGCCUCCGUGCAAGAUGCUGUCUUCCAAGUGGAAACGCUGCUGGAAGAGGCCCCUCAUGCCGGCCGUGAGGCGGAAUACGAGUCCGUCGUCGCCUUCGUCUCGCGGCGGCUGUCACACGAGACAAACACCUCCCUCUUUGUGUGCGGCGGCUGCGGUUGCGGCAAGACUUCGACCGUGAAACGUGCUCUGCGAGCCAUUUCGGCGCGUGCGCUGCCGUGCGAUGCCAAACCACGCAGUCUCAUCAAGCAUAGCACUCUCGAAGAGCGCGGCUGGCGAACUUGCGUAGAGGACGGUGAUGACGCAGCAUCUGUCACGGCCGAUGCAACUCGCAGGACUCGAAAAGCACUUCUAGCCACGCCCACCAGUACACCACGCUCCUCUCGGCAGCUGCCGGCCGAGGAAGGCAGAAGCCCCAGUGACGCGAAUGGGCUGACGCCGUCGUCCUCGGCCUCCCUGGCUGCUGCGCUGUCGCACACCACGUCGCCAGACACGUCGCGCACCUCCGCAUCGUCAUUGGCUGCGGCCACUACGACCAGCAGCGCUCGCCUCGCUUUGCACUCACCCGAAUCGAGUCGGCCAAGCGACUCCAGUGUCAACUCCACUGCCACCGUUUUGGAAGCUGCCAGUCCGGCGUGCCGUGUCAAGCGCGGUCGCGCGGCGGAUGAGUGGGAAGGGAACAGCGUUCAUUCAGCCGAACUAGACAGGAAGGCCACAGAAGCCCUCACGCGGGGUGAAAGUGCGUGGCGGCAGGCACAGGGACUGGAGCAGGAGGUGCCACCACGGCCCCAGCCAGAGCCGUACAGUCUUGCCUACUUCAGUAUGCGGUACCCUGAGCUGUUCUCGAGUGGCAGCACUCGUGCGACGGCAUCGUCCUCUUCGCCGGCCACUUCGCAGUUCCGUCAUAUUUUUGGCCACUACGUCAACUGCGCCGAUGUCAGUGGUCCGCUCUUGGUAGAGGCGGUGUGCGACAGCAUCCGGGCAACGUGCAGCCGCACCGACAGCGCCACACAGCUGCUGCUCCAGUGGCUCGCGUCCAUUGGCAAGGCUGCGUCUAGUCGCGGCCAGGCUAUCAGUGGCGCAGCUGCUGAGUCGCACGCCGUUUCUACCUCUGCAGCCCCGAAGCGGCGUGCGAGCCCGCCGGCGCUGCACGUCGUUGCGCUCGACGAGGUAGAGUACCUACGCGGCGGCGGUGCCAAAAUGCUCACCCUACUGGCGGAGCUUGCCUUUCAGCACCCCGCGCAACUUGCCCUGAUCUUCAUAUCAAACCAGCGUGCCUUUGUGCACGUGCCGCAGAUGAUGCUGGAGCCGUUGCUGUUCCAACCCUACAGCGAGGCCCAGUUGCGGGAGAUCGGCGCGAGUACGACGAAUGCCGAGCUGCAGCGAUGCGAGCAGCUCGUCGGCGCAGACGACCGCACUUCGAGAUCCCCCGCGGCGAAGAGCACUGCGGGCGGCGCAAAGGUGCGCAAGACCGCGGCGCGUUCGUCCGCGGCGGACCACAAGCCGCUGCGCGCCUGCGAUGUGGACAUCAGACCGCGCCUGUACGAUUACAUCGCACGCAAAGCGCUCCUCGAGUUUUCCGGCGAUGUCCGGCAGGUCAUCGCCAUGUGCCACCGUGUGGUCUCGGCUGCCUGGCGGGAAGUGGCUGAGGCAAGGCUUGAGGCUGCUGCUGCGGAUGCUGCGACGGCGGCGACGUCUACACCCCCGGCAAUGGCGCGCGACAGCAGAAGCACCGCAGUCGUAAGGAAUGCGUCAGUUGCCGACUUUUCCUCGAAGCUGGAGGCUGCUUUUGAGGCGUACAGCGUGGACAAGCGUACAGCCGCUGCAGCACAAGCGUCUACAACGUUCUCAGGUACCCCCCGGUCUUCUUCAGACGCCGCUGGCAUAAAGGGCGCCUCCUCGACGCGGUUCAGCGGGGCCGCGGGUGCAUCUUGCGCAUCGCUGACCGCUGCAGCACAGCUUGCCCCAGCUUCCUCAUCUUGGACGCCGUCCUCCGGUGUCAUGACGCUGGCCAAGAGCGUCCGUGUCCUACAGAGCAACCAGGUUGAGAGCGACAUCGACAAACACGUCGGCACCCUACCGGAGCAGACUCUAUACGUCCUCAGCUGCAUUGUCGUUCUCACUUUGCGCAAGCGGGAGGAGCGCACCUACGCGUCGACGAGUGUCGGUGGCCGCAUCGGCACAACUCGCACGCCGGGAGCGGGUCUCACCGCGGCUCAGCGCGCGGUGCCAACGCUGUCGCUGAAGAUGCACGAGGUGCACCAGCUGUACACUCGACUCAUGGCGAAGCUGCACUUCCCCGCAAUGCGGGCCGACGGCUUUCCUGUGCAGGUGGAGUGCCUCGCCGACUUUGGCGUGCUGACGCGGCCUCAGUUGCGCGGCACCGAUCGCGUCUUCUCGCUAAACGGGACAUGGACAUUGCCGGCGAUGCAGGCAGCACUUGUGAAGCGUGGCGAAGCGAUCAAGCAAGACCGCACGACGGCUGGCGCUGGGGCGAUGAUGGAGAACCGUUUCGAAGAGGUGCUGCGCGAGCUGGCAAACCUAGUCAAAUAGUUUGGACGCUUUCGCGCUUGUCUGCACGGCAGCGGUGCUGAUGGAGGUCAAGGCACGCGUGGUGCGUAAGAGGUGGAGAGAAGGGUGGACGGCAACGAAAAAUGAACGCGCGCUCGCCCGCUGGCGGGCAGUGCGCACAAGUGAUGGACACCCUGCGAGACGAGGGUGCGUUCUCUCCUGUGUGUAUGCACGCUUGUGUUGCUGUCACUGUCUGUGUAUGCCUAUGCACGUGUGCUGCUGUGCCUCCUCGCCAUGAUUGUUUCCACAGCUCUACGCCUACCCACACACUCUUUUUCCGUUUCCGUCUUCCUCGCGCCGCCAGGCCUCUAUAGAGUUAGCACACACGCACAUGCAUCUAUC
RNAcentral lists this unclassified non-coding RNA (3656 nucleotides) under Leishmania donovani. RNAcentral describes it as "gene:LdHU3.26.2910(CDS-product:AAA_ATPase_domain_ containing_protein_putative)". The record is from RNAcentral. Lineage: Eukaryota; Euglenozoa; Kinetoplastea; Trypanosomatida; Trypanosomatidae.